This 421-nucleotide long non-coding RNA is filed under the name Ricinus communis (castor bean). RNAcentral's name for it is "long non-coding RNA (RCOM_LNC001808)". The record is from RNAcentral. Lineage: Eukaryota; Viridiplantae; Streptophyta; Magnoliopsida; Malpighiales; Euphorbiaceae.
CGUAAGUUUGACCCUUCCUUCCUUGGUGCUCAGAACCACCGCUUAAGUGAGGACAGGCCAUUUCCAUGUAGCCCUCACCCUGCGUAACGAUUGCUAUCUUGGUCGCCCUUGAAUUGUACAAGGGUCCAGCCAUUGAUCCCUAUAUGUGCAUAAAAAGUCCCAUUAUAAUUUAUAAAUAGUGGACGGUUCAUUCGAAUCGAAACAUGAGAAAGCAGAAAAAUAAAAAAAUAAAAAAUAAAAAAUCGAGGGGGGUGAUAAUGUGCAUACUCUAGUUAUGUUGGCGAAGGAAAUCAUAAGGUCGAGAUCUUGUAGCUGCUCCUUGUGAUCAUUAGGUCUAGCUUCAAAGAGCUGACCAUGGUUGUUGCUUUGAACGGGGCGUUUGUGUAGAAGAUUGAAUGGGGCGCCACUUGAUUCUCCUCCA